This 329-nucleotide ribosomal RNA is filed under the name uncultured eukaryote. RNAcentral's name for it is "partial 18S ribosomal RNA". It matches the Rfam family "Eukaryotic small subunit ribosomal RNA", at positions 1470 to 1796 of the family's 1831-position model. The record is from RNAcentral.
CCCUUAGAUGUUCUGGGCCGCACGCGCGCUACACUGACGAUGGCAACGAGUUUUUCCUUCGCCGAAAGGUGUGGGUAAUCUUUUGAAACAUCGUCGUGCUGGGGAUAGAUCAUUGCAAUUUUUGAUCUUGAACGAGGAAUUCCUAGUAAGCGCGAGUCAUCAGCUCGCGUUGAUUACGUCCCUGCCCUUUGUACACACCGCCCGUCGCUACUACCGAUUGAAUGGUUUAGUGAGGACUCCUGAUUGGCGCCGCCGCCCCGGCAACGGAGCAGCGGACUGCCGAAAAGUUGUUCAAACUUGAUCAUUUAGAGGAAGUAAAUGUCGUAACA